UCCAAUCCAUUGGAAUCGUUCGAUAAAAUUCCUUUAUUUUUUUUUUUUUGUUGAAUCGUGGUGAAUGAAUCGAACAUUCAUAGGCAAGCAAAAGGAAUUUCAGACGCGACACGUUUCGUAACCAAGAUUUGCUUUUACCGUUUCACCAUCGAAUGUAUAAUGGCGCCGUAAAGCUCGACCAAUUUGCCCACCAUUAUAUUAUUCCUCUCAUGACAUAUAUUUCCUGGAUACUGGAUUAUUGGAAAUAAGAGAGAAAGAACAAAGAAAAAAAGAAGAAAAAAAAGAAGCAUAAAUUCAUCAGUAAUACUAUCUAGAAACUUUGUGUUUUGAAUGCUAUGAAGGUUAGGAAGAAAAAAAAAUGUGUGAUAUUUUUCUCAUGGGAAUUGUGUUCCGUGUAAAUCUUCCUAAUAGUGAAUGUAAAAAGAAUAAUACAAUACAAUAGUAUUAUUAUUAUAAA
Long non-coding RNA from Apis laboriosa (Himalayan honeybee), 457 nucleotides. RefSeq lists it as uncharacterized. Lineage: Eukaryota; Metazoa; Arthropoda; Insecta; Hymenoptera; Apidae. The transcript is spliced from 2 exons. The record is from RefSeq and is a predicted model, not a curated record.